Molecule: non-coding RNA, 163 nt
Filed under: bovine gut metagenome
Description: Lysine riboswitch
Rfam family: Lysine riboswitch aptamer
About the family: Riboswitches are metabolite binding domains within certain messenger RNAs that serve as precision sensors for their corresponding targets. Allosteric rearrangement of mRNA structure is mediated by ligand binding, and this results in modulation of gene expression. This family includes riboswitches that sense lysine in a number of genes involved in lysine metabolism, including lysC.
Source: RNAcentral
UUGAUAGAGGCGCGGCUUUUAUCAGUAGCAUAAAACUUUAAAGGCAAUGGGUUUUAUGUGAAAGGAAACGCCGCCGAAGGGAACUGAAUCGCCUUAAUUCUGCUUCUCUGGGUCGUCGGGAAAUACCCGGCGGACUGUCGCGUAUUUGCGGAGAGCUAUCGUG